UACGAAGGGGGCUAGCGUUGCUCGGAAUCACUGGGCGUAAAGCGCACGUAGGCGGGUUCUUAAGUCAGGGGUGAAAUCCUGGAGCUCAACUCCAGAACUGCCUUUGAUACUGGGAAUCUCGAGUCCGGGAGAGGUGAGUGGAACUGCGAGUGUAGAGGUGAAAUUCGUAGAUAUUCGGAGGAACACCAGUGGCGAAGGCGGCUCACUGGUCCGGUACUGACGCUGAGGUGCGAAAGCGUGGGGAGCAAACAGG
RNAcentral lists this ribosomal RNA (253 nucleotides) under uncultured bacterium. Its description in RNAcentral is "partial 16S ribosomal RNA". It matches the Rfam family "Bacterial small subunit ribosomal RNA", at positions 524 to 776 of the family's 1533-position model. The record is from RNAcentral.